CCUACGGGAGGCAGCAGUGAGGAAUAUUGGUCAAUGGACGCAAGCCUGAACCAGCCAUGCCGCGUGCAGGAAGACGGCUCUAUGAGUUGUAAACCGCUUUUGUACGAGGGUAAACGCAGAUACGCGUACCUGUCUGAAUGUAUCGUACGAAUAAGGAUCGGCUAACUCCGUGCCAGCAGCCGCGGUAAUACGGAGGAUUCAAGCGUUAUCCGGAUUUAUUGGGUUUAAAGGGUGCGUAGGCGGUCGGAUAAGUUAGAGGUGAAAUCCCGAGGCUCAACUUCGGAAUUGCCUCUGAUACUGUUCGGCUAGAGAGUAGUUGCGGUAGGCGGAAUGUAUGGUGUAGCGGUGAAAUGCUUAGAGAUCAUACAGAACACCGAUUGCGAAGGCAGCUUACCAAGCUACUUCUGACGUUGAGGCACGAAAGCGUGGGGAGCAAACAGGAUUAGAUACCCCUGUAGUC
Molecule: ribosomal RNA, 460 nt
Filed under: uncultured bacterium
Lineage: Bacteria
Description: partial 16S ribosomal RNA
Rfam family: Bacterial small subunit ribosomal RNA
Source: RNAcentral